Molecule: ribosomal RNA, 692 nt
Filed under: uncultured bacterium
Lineage: Bacteria
Description: bacterial SSU rRNA
Rfam family: Bacterial small subunit ribosomal RNA
Source: RNAcentral
ACGGAUAACAUACCGAAAGGUAUGCUAAUACGGGAUAAUAUAUUUGAGAGGCAUCUCUUGAAUAUCAAAGGUGAGCCAGUACAGGAUGGACCCGCGUCUGAUUAGCUAGUUGGUAAGGUAACGGCUUACCAAGGCGACGAUCAGUAGCCGACCUGAGAGGGUGAUCGGCCACAUUGGAACUGAGACACGGUCCAAACUCCUACGGGAGGCAGCAGUGGGGAAUAUUGCACAAUGGGCGAAAGCCUGAUGCAGCAACGCCGCGUGAGUGAUGAAGGCCUUCGGGUCGUAAAACUCUGUCCUCAAGGAAGAUAAUGACGGUACUUGAGGAGGAAGCCCCGGCUAACUACGUGCCAGCAGCCGCGGUAAUACGUAGGGGGCUAGCGUUAUCCGGAUUUACUGGGCGUAAAGGGUGCGUAGGCGGUCUUUCAAGUCAGGAGUGAAAGGCUACGGCUCAACCGUAGUAAGCUCUUGAAACCGGGAGACUUGAGUGCAGGAGAGGAGAGUGGAAUUCCUAGUGUAGCGGUGAAAUGCGUAGAUAUUAGGAGGAACACCAGUUGCGAAGGCGGCUCUCUGGACUGUAACUGACGCUGAGGCACGAAAGCGUGGGGAGCAAACAGGAUUAGAUACCCUGGUAGUCCACGCUGUAAACGAUGAGUACUAGGUGUCGGGGGUUACCCCCUUCGGUGCCGCAG